Camellia sinensis is the source of this 754-nucleotide non-coding RNA. The record is from RefSeq and is a predicted model, not a curated record. Lineage: Eukaryota; Viridiplantae; Streptophyta; Magnoliopsida; Ericales; Theaceae.
AUUUUUACGACACUCCCAACGAUUGCCCCUCUCUCUCUCUCUUUCGUUCUUUCUUUUUUUUCUCUCUCACUCAGUCAAAAAUUGAAAUCCCCCAAAAUCACAUCCAGGCUGAGAAGAACAGAGAGCAUCAUCAACCAUUAUGAAACGGGCAGUGAAUGUUGCGAAAUCGAGCUCAAUCCGUCUGCGGAAUUUGCUAGAUCACACAACGUGUGUUUCUGAGGCUCAGACUACACUAUUUUAGAACUAUAUUGCUCUAAGCGUGCUUUCCCGCUACCCUAAGUUGGCAUAUUUGGAACCUUCUCCUCUGACAAUGAUUUCUAAAAAGCCUUCUUCAUUUCAAAGUGGAACCCCCUUAAAUUCCUGGCAGAAUUUAAUCUAUUCAGCUGUUCCCAUAAAAUUGGAAACCAUUGCAGACCACCAUAGCCAAAGGGACAUUGAGAAUCCUACUGACUGCUUCAUUUCAAGUGUGGUUGAUGGUAAGGCUUGAACCUCUAAUCCUACUCCAUCCUUGCAAUAUGGUAUUACAUAAUGAAAGUUUGAAAUAAUAGCUGGUAAACAUUCAAGAAUGGCAGCCACCGCCCACACUACUACAAACUCAAAAGUAAUAUGUGCACUUCCCAAAAGAGAACUUGAAAUUCUUACGCCACCCAUCAACAUCAACAUACUCCCAAAUGUGAAAGUAAUUCAUACUUUUUUUGCGGUGAAUAGUAUUUCGUACUUACAAGCCACAAUAGUGCACAAAUGGCCCCAAUAA